RNAcentral lists this ribosomal RNA (400 nucleotides) under uncultured bacterium. Its description in RNAcentral is "bacterial SSU rRNA". It matches the Rfam family "Bacterial small subunit ribosomal RNA", at positions 355 to 769 of the family's 1533-position model. The record is from RNAcentral.
UGGGGAAUUUUCCGCAAUGGGCGAAAGCCUGACGGAGCAAUACCGCGUGAGGGAGGAAGGCUCUUGGGUUGUAAACCUCUUUUCUCAGGGAAUAAAAAAAUGAAGGUACCUGAGGAAUAAGCAUCGGCUAACUCCGUGCCAGCAGCCGCGGUAAUACGGAGGAUGCAAGCGUUAUCCGGAAUGAUUGGGCGUAAAGCGUCCGCAGGUGGUUAUGUAAGUCUGUUGUUAAAGCGUGCGGCUCAACCGCAUAAGGGCAAUGGAAACUACAUGACUAGAGUGCGUUAGGGGUAGAGGGAAUUCCUGGUGUAGCGGUGAAAUGCGUAGAUAUCAGGAAGAACACCGGUGGCGAAGGCGCUCUACUAUGCCGCAACUGACACUGAGGGACGAAAGCUAGGGGAGC